CCCGUGUCCGAUCAUCACGUGAGACGGACUAGUCACCAUGGUGAGCAACUUCAUGCUGAUCGUAUUCAACCAUACGACUCAUGUUCGACCUUUCGGUUUCUUGUAUUCGAGGUCAUGUCUGUACAUGCUAAGCUCGUCGAGUCAACCUAGGUGUUUCGCGUGUGUAAAUCUGGCUUACACCCGUUGUAUGCGAACGUUAGAAUCUAUCACACCCGAUCAUCACGUGGUGCUUCGAGACAACGAACCUUCGCAAUGGUGCACACUUAGGGGAAUACGUUCUCGAAAUUUUAAGAGGGAUCAUCUUAUUAUGCUACCGUCGUUCUAAGCAAUAAGAUGUAAAACAUGAUAAACAUCACAAUGCAAUCAUAUAGUGACAUGAUAUGACCAUUAUCAUCUUUGCUCUUUUGAUCUCCAUCUUCAGGCAUCACAUGAUCAUCAUCGUCACCGGCGUGACACCAUGAUCUCCAUCAUCGUGUCUCCGUGAAGUCGUCACGCCAGCUACUACUAUCGCUACUACUAUAGCUAACCGUUAGCAAUGAAGUAAAAGUAGUAAGCACAUGGCGUUGCAUCUCAUACAAUAAAUUAAGACAACUCCUAUGGCUCCUGCCGGUUGUCAUACUCAUCGACAUGCAAGUCGUGAAACCUAUUACAAUAACAUGAUCAUCUCAUACAUCAUACAUGCAACAUCACAACUUUGGCCAUAUCACAUCACAUGUCAAACCCUGCAAAAAACAAGUUAGACGUCCUCUAAUUGUUGUUGCAAGUUUUACGUGGCUGAUUUGGGUUUCUAGCAAGAACGCCUUCUUACCUACGUGACAACCACAACGAUGAUAUGCCAAAGCUAUUUACCCUUCAUAAGGACCCUUUUCAUCAAAUCCAAUCCGACUAGAGUAGGAGAGACAGACACCCACUAGCCACCUUUAUGCACGAUGUGCAUGUCCGUCGGUGGAACCAGUCUCACGUAAGUGUACGUGUAAAGUCGGUCCGGGCCGCUUCAUCCAACAAUACCGCCAAAAAAGAAUAAGACUAGUAGCCGCAAGCAAAUUGACAAAUCAUCGCCCACAACUUUUGUGUUCUACUCGUGCAUAGAAUCUACGCAUAGAAAACCUGGCUCGGAUGCCACUGUUGGGUAACGUAGCAUAAGUUCAAAAUUUUCCUACGCAUAUUCAGAUCUUCCUAUGGAGAGACCAGCAACGAGAGGGGUAAGAGCACCUUCAUACCUUUGAAGAUCGCUAAGCAGAAGCGUUGCUAGAACGCGGUUGAUGGAGUCGUACUCGCAGCGAUUCCGAUCUAGUGCCGAACUACGGCACCUCCGCGUUCAACACACGUGCAGCCCGGUGACGUCUCCCGCACCUUGAUCCAGCAAGGAGGAGGGAGAGGUUGGGGAAGAACUCCAGCAGCACUACGGCGUGGUGUCGAUGGAGAGACGAGGUCUCCCGGCAGGGCUUCGCCAAGCACCGGCAGAGAGGAGGAGGGAGAGGAACGGGGCUGCGCCGAGAGAGAGGAAAAACCGUGUGUCUCAAUGGCCAAAAGUGUCCGAUAUAUAGUAGGGGGAGGGGAGAGGGGGUGCCACCCCUAGGGUUCCCACCCUAAGGGGUGCGGCAGCCCCCCCAGAUGGGAGGUGCGGCGGCCAGAAGGGGAAGGAGGGGGUGGCGCACCAUCUGGUGGGCCUUAGGCCCACCUGGCCUAGGGUUUGCCCCCCUUUUUCUCUCCCUUGCGCUAUGGGCUGAGUGGGGAGGCGCACCAGCCCACCUAGGGGCUGGUUCCCACCCCCACUUGGCCCACCUUAUCUCCCGGGGUCGUUGCCCCCCUUCGGUGGUCCCCCGGGGCCACCUCCGGUGGUCCCGGUGGUCCCGGUACGUUACCGGUGAUGCCCGAAACACUUCCGUUAUCCGAAACCAUCCGUCCUAUAUAUCAAUCUUUACCUCCGGACCAUUCCGGAGCUCCUCGUGACGUCCGGGAUCUCAUCCGGACUCCAUACAACUUUCGGUAACCUCGUAUAACAAUUCCCUAUAACCCUAGCGUCAUCGAACCUUAAGUGUGUAGACCCUACGGGUUCGGGAGACAGGCAGACAUGACCGAGACACCUCUCUGGCCAAUAACCAUCAGCGGGGUCUGGAUACCCAUGGUGGCUCCCACUAGCUCCACGAUGAUCUCAUCGGAUGAACCACGAUGUCAAGGAUUUAAUCAAUCCCGUAUACGAUCCCGUUUGUCUGUCGGUAUAGAACUUGCCCGAGAUUCGAUCGUCGGUAUACCUAUACCUUGUUCAAUCUCGUUACCGGUAAGUCUCUUUACUCGUUCUGUAGCACGUCAUCGUGUGACUAACUCCUUAGUCACAUUGAGCUCAUGAUGAUGUUCUACCGAGUGGGCCCAGAGAUACCUCUCCGUCACACGGAGUGACAAAUCCCGAUCUUGAUUCGUACCAACCCAACAGACACUUUCGGAGGUACCCGUAGUGCACCUUUAUAGUCACCCAGUUAUGUUGUGACGUUUGAUACACCCAAAGCACUCCUAUGGUAUCCGGGAGUUGCACAAUCUCACGGUCGAAGGAAAAGAUACUUGACAUUAGAAAAGCAUCAGCAUACGAACAAUAUGAUCUAGUGCUAGGCUUAGGAUUGGGUCUUGUCCAUCACAUCAUUCUCCCAAUGAUGUGAUCCCGUUAUCAAUGACAUCUAAUGCCCAUGAUCAGGAAACCAUGAUCAUCUAUUGACUAACGAGCUAGCCAACUAGAGGCUUGCUAGGGACACAUUGUGAUCUAUUUAUUCACACAUGUAUUACUGUUUCCUGUUAAUACAAUUAUAGCAUGAACAAUAGACGAUUAUCAUGAACAAGGAAAUAUGAUAAUAACCAUUUUAUUAUUGCCUCUAGGGCAUAUUUCCAACAGUCUCCCACUUGCGCUAGAGUCAAUAAUCUAGUUACAUUGUGAUGUAUCAAACACCCAUAGCAUCAUGGUGUUGACCCUGUUUUGCUCGUGGAAGAGGUUUAGUCAACGGGUCUGCAAUAUUCAGAUCCGUGUGUACUUUACAAAUAUCUAUCACUCCACUCUGGACAUGGUCCUGGAUGGAGUUGUAGCGGCGCUUGAUGUGCUUCAUCUUCCGGUGAAACCUGGGCUCCUUGGCUAUGGCAAUGGCUCCAGUGUUAUCACAGAAGAGUGUCAUAGGACCCGACGCGCUUGGAACCACUCCAAGGUCGGUGAUGAGCUCCUUCAUCCAAAUUCCUUCAUGAGCCGCUUCUGAAGCAGCUAUGUACUCCGCUUCACAUGUAGAUGCUGCCACGACUUCUUGCUUGCUGCUGCACCAGCUCACUUCCCCACCAUUCAACACAUAUACGUAUCCGGUCUGUGACUUAGAGUCAUCCGGAUCUGUGUGGAAGCUAGUGUCGACGUAACCCUUUACGACGAGCUCUUCGUCACCUCCAUAAACGAGAAACAUUUCCUUAGUCCUUUUCAGGUACUUAAGGAUAUUCUUGACCGCUGUCCAGUGUUCUGUACCGGGAUUACUUUGGUACCUCCCUACCAAACUUAUGGCAAGGUUUAUAUCAGGUCUGGUACACAACAUGUCAUACAUUAGAGAGCCCACGGCUGAAGCGUAGGGGACAGAACUCAUCUUCUCUCUAUCUGCUGUCGUGGUCGGCGACUGAGUCUUACUCAAUCUCAUACCUUGCAAAACUGGCAAGAACCCUUUCUUUGAGUUUUCCAUAUUGAACUUCUUCAAUAUCUUGUCAAGGUAUGUACUUUGCGAAAGACCUAUGAGGCGUCUCGAUCUAUCUCUAUAGAUCUUGAUGCCUAAUAUGUAUGCAGCUUCUCCAAGGUCCUUCAUUGAAAAACUCUUGUUCAAAUAGGCCUUUAUGCUCUCCAACAUCUCUAUAUUAUUCCCCAUCAAUAAUAUGUCAUCCACAUAUAGUAUGAGGAAAGCUACAGAGCUCCCACUCACUGUAUAAGAUGUCGAUCCGCCCCGCAAAACGCCUUUGGAGCCCCGUUUCUAAACUGUAUAACAUGCCACACCUGACCAGAGAGUAGUCAUCACUCCGCGUUUGCCAGACGUUCAGAAUUUCCUGGGCUGCUGCGGGAGCGGGAGGGUCACCUAGCGGCGCAUUAAGGACAUAAGACUUUUUAGCUGCUUCAAGGAUGAGCUUCAAGUUGCGAACCCAGUCCGCAUAGUUGCUACCAUCAUCUUUCAGCUUGUUUUUUCUCUAGGAAUGCGUUGAAAUUGAGGUUGACGUGGGACAUCUACAAUAUUUAUAAAGACAACUUUUAGACUAAGUUCAUGACAAUUAAGUUCAUUUAAUCAAAUUAAGUAUGAACUCCCACUUAAAUCGACAUCCCUCUAGUCAUCUAAGUGAUACAUGAUCCAUGUUGACUAACCCGUGUCCGAUCAUCACGUGAGACGGACUAGUCACCAUGGUGAGCAACAUCAUGCUGAUCGUAUUCAACCAUACGACUCAUGUUCGACCUUUCGGUCUCUUGUAUUCGAGGUCAUGUCUGUACAUGCUAAGCUCGUCAAGUCAACCUAGGUGUUUCGCGUGUGUAAAUCUGGCUUACACCCGUUGUAUGCGAACGUUAGAAUCUAUCACACCCGAUCAUCACG
This 4586-nucleotide long non-coding RNA is filed under the name Hordeum vulgare. Its description in RNAcentral is "long non-coding RNA (HVUL_LNC006168)". The record is from RNAcentral. Lineage: Eukaryota; Viridiplantae; Streptophyta; Magnoliopsida; Poales; Poaceae.